UAGAUUGAAGCCCGCUGGCUUGGGUUUUUAGUUGUUAACUAAAGGUUUAUGGGAUCGAGGCCCGUCGAUCUAG
Molecule: transfer RNA, 73 nt
Filed under: Dierogekko koniambo
Lineage: Eukaryota; Metazoa; Chordata; Lepidosauria; Squamata; Diplodactylidae
Description: tRNA-Asn
Source: RNAcentral